AGCUCCAGUAGCGUAUAUUAAAGUUGUUGCAGUUAAAAAGCUCGUAGUUGGAUUUCUGGUACGCUGCGCCUGGCCCGCCGCCCUCGAGGUUGGUGUGUGCUGGAGCGCGGUUGCCAUCCUUCUAGAGAACGUUUCUACCCUUCACUGGGCCGGAUUCGCAAUCUAGAUCAUUUACUUUGAAAAAAUUAGAGUGUUUAAAGCAGGCAAUUGCCAUGAAUACAUUAGCAUGGAAUAAUAAUAUAGGACUUUGGUUCUAUUUUGUUGGUUUCUAGGACUAAAGUAAUGAUUGAUAGGGAUAGUUGGGGGUGCUCGUAUUUAGCGGCCAGAGGUGAAAUUCUUGGAUUCGCUAAAGACGAACUUAUGCGAAAGCAUUCACCAAGGAUGUCUUCUUUA
Molecule: ribosomal RNA, 393 nt
Filed under: Ventrifissura sp.
Lineage: Eukaryota; Cercozoa; Thecofilosea; Ventricleftida; Ventrifissuridae
Description: partial small subunit ribosomal RNA
Rfam family: Eukaryotic small subunit ribosomal RNA
Source: RNAcentral